This 499-nucleotide ribosomal RNA is filed under the name uncultured bacterium. Its description in RNAcentral is "bacterial SSU rRNA". It matches the Rfam family "Bacterial small subunit ribosomal RNA", at positions 899 to 1397 of the family's 1533-position model. The record is from RNAcentral.
ACUCAAAUGAAUAGACGGGGACCCGCACAAGCAGCGGAGCAUGUGGUUUAAUUCGAUGCAACGCGAAGAACCUUACCAGGGCUUGACAUCCCUCGGGCCGUCUUAGAGAUAAGACCUUCUCUUCGGAGACUGAGGGACAGGUGGUGCAUGGUUGUCGUCAGCUCGUGUCGUGAGAUGUUGGGUUAAGUCCCGCAACGAGCGCAACCCUUGCCUUUAGUUGCCAACAGUUAGGCUGUGCACUCUAGAGGGACUGCCGAUGAUAAAUCGGAGGAAGGUGGGGAUGACGUCAAAUCAUCAUGCCCUUUAUGUCCUGGGCUACACACGUGCUACAAUGGUCGGUACAACGGGUAGCGACUUAGUGAUAAGGAGCCAAUCCCUUAAAACCGAUCCCAGUUCGGAUUGCAGGCUGCAACUCGCCUGCAUGAAGCCGGAGUUGCUAGUAAUCGUGGAUCAGAAUGCCACGGUGAAUGCGUUCCCGGGUCUUGCACACACCGCCCGU